GACGAACGCUGGCGGCGUGCUUAACACAUGCAAGUCGAGCGGUAAGGCCCUUUCGGGGGUACACGAGCGGCGAACGGGUUGAGUAACACGUGGGUGACCUGCCCUCAGCUCUGGGAUAAGCCUGGGAAACCGGGUCUAAUACUGGAUAUGACUCCAUGACGCAUGUUGUGGGGUGGAAAGCCUUGUGCGGCUGAGGAUGGGCCCGCGGCCUAUCAGCUUGUUGGUGGGGUGANGGCCUACCAAGGCGACGGACGGGUAGCCGGCCUGAGAGGGCGACCGGCCACACGUGGGACUGAGACACGGCCCAGACCUCCGUACGGGAGGCAGCAGGUGGGGAAUCUUGCGCAAGUGGGACGAAAGCCUGACGCAGCGACGCCGCGUGAGGGAUGA
RNAcentral lists this ribosomal RNA (390 nucleotides) under uncultured bacterium. Its description in RNAcentral is "bacterial SSU rRNA". It matches the Rfam family "Bacterial small subunit ribosomal RNA", at positions 28 to 411 of the family's 1533-position model. The record is from RNAcentral.